AGUGAACGCUGGCGGUAGGCCUAACACAUGCAAGUCGAACGGCAGCACAGUAAGAGCUUGCUCUUACGGGUGGCGAGUGGCGGACGGGUGAGGAAUACAUCGGAAUCUACUUUUUCGUGGGGGAUAACGUAGGGAAACUUACGCUAAUACCGCAUACGACCUACGGGUGAAAGCAGGGGAUCUUCGGACCUUGCGCGAUUGAAUGAGACGAUGUCGGAUUAGCUAGUUGGCGGGGUAAAGGCCCACCAAGGCGACGAUCCGUAGCUGGUCUGAGAGGAUGAUCAGCCACACUGGAACUGAGACACGGUCCAGACUCCUACGGGAGGCAGCAGUGGGGAAUAUUGGACAAUGGGCGCAAGCCUGAUCCAGCCAUACCGCGUGGGUGAAGAAGGCCUUCGGGUUGUAAAGCCCUUUUGUUGGGAAAGAAAAGCAGCAUGUUAAUACCCCGCUGUUCUGACGGUACCCAAAGAAUAAGCACCGGCUAACUUCGUG
Molecule: ribosomal RNA, 492 nt
Filed under: uncultured bacterium
Lineage: Bacteria
Description: partial 16S ribosomal RNA
Rfam family: Bacterial small subunit ribosomal RNA
Source: RNAcentral